This 118-nucleotide non-coding RNA is filed under the name Clostridium chauvoei. RNAcentral's name for it is "FMN sequence". It matches the Rfam family "FMN riboswitch aptamer (RFN element)". From Rfam's summary of the family: The RFN element is a highly conserved domain that is found frequently in the 5'-untranslated regions of prokaryotic mRNAs that encode for flavin mononucleotide (FMN) biosynthesis and transport proteins. This element is a metabolite-dependent riboswitch that directly binds FMN in the absence of proteins. RNAcentral also lists the same sequence under 1 other name. The record is from RNAcentral. Lineage: Bacteria; Bacillati; Bacillota; Clostridia; Eubacteriales; Clostridiaceae.
UAUUAUCUUCAGGGCGGGGCGAGAUUCCCCACCGGCGGUAAAGCCCGCGAGCUAAUAAUUAGCAUGAUUCGGUGAAACUCCGAGGCCGACAGUAUAGUCUGGAUGAAAGAAGGUAGAA